CAGCCGCGUCCGCCCCGCUUCUGUGCAGCACGCCUCAAGCCAGUGCAGAAAUAACCGCGACUAUCGCCAAUACACCCGUUUAUGCGCGUGAACACGAGUUGGCACAAGCGCUGCAUAGUCCCUUUCAGAUCAUUCAUAACGCGCAGCCUUCAACGAUGAAGGCUGCGCCUCCCGAGAGAACGGGACCGGACAAAGGCGUCCCCGUCAGGCAACUGGCGGGACGCC
RNAcentral lists this small RNA (225 nucleotides) under Pseudomonas syringae pv. tomato T1. RNAcentral describes it as "sRNA P11". The stretch from base 88 to 225 matches the Rfam family "Pseudomonas sRNA P11". From Rfam's summary of the family: P11 is located between a putative threonine protein kinase and putative nitrate reductase and appears to be conserved in several Pseudomonas species. P11 has a predicted Rho independent terminator at the 3'end but the function of P11 is unknown. The record is from RNAcentral. Lineage: Bacteria; Pseudomonadati; Pseudomonadota; Gammaproteobacteria; Pseudomonadales; Pseudomonadaceae.